AUUGAACGCUGGCGGAAUGCUUUACACAUGCAAGUCGAGCGGCAGCACGGGGGCAACCCUGGUGGCGAGCGGCGAACGGGUGAGUAAUACAUCGGAACAUGCCCAGUCGUGGGGGAUAACACUUCGAAAGAAGUGCUAAUACCGCAUACGUCCUGAGGGAGAAAGCGGGGGAUCGCAAGACCUCGCGCGAUUGGAGUGGCCGAUGUCAGAUUAGCUAGUUGGUGGGGUAAAGGCCUACCAAGGCAACGAUCUGUAGCUGGUCUGAGAGGAUGAUCAGCCAACCGGGGACUGAGAACCGGCCCAGCCCCCUAGGGGGGGCAGGAGUGGGGAAUUUUGGACAAGGGGGGCAACCCUGACCCAGCCAUCCCGCGUGGGGGAAGAAGGCCUUCGGGUUGUAAAGCUCUUUCGGCAGGAACGAAACGGCGAGCUUUAAAAAAGCUUGCUAAUGCCGGUACCUGAAGAAGAAGCACCGGCUAACUCCGU
RNAcentral lists this ribosomal RNA (483 nucleotides) under uncultured bacterium. Its description in RNAcentral is "partial 16S ribosomal RNA". It matches the Rfam family "Bacterial small subunit ribosomal RNA", at positions 29 to 506 of the family's 1533-position model. The record is from RNAcentral.